Molecule: ribosomal RNA, 371 nt
Filed under: uncultured organism
Description: partial 16S ribosomal RNA
Rfam family: Bacterial small subunit ribosomal RNA
Source: RNAcentral
GGAGGGUGCAAGCAUUAAUCGGAAUUAUUGGGCGUAAAGGGCGCGUAGGCGGAUUAGCAAGUCAUGUGUGAAAUUCCAAGGCUUAACCUUGGAGCUGCACGUGAAACUACUAGUCUAGAGGUAAGGUGGAGAAAACGGAAUUCCCCAUGUAGCGGUGAAAUGCGUAGAUAUGGGGAGGAACACCGGUGGCGAAAGCGGUUUUCUAACCUUCACCUGACGCUGAGGCGCGAAAGCGAGGGGAGCAAACAGGAUUAGAUACCCUGGUAGUCCUCGCCGUAAACGAUGCAUACUUGAUGUGACUGGGCUCAACCCCUAGUCGUGUCGAAGCUAACGCGAUAAGUAUGCCGCCUGGGGAUACGCUCGCAAGGGUG